GGCCAGUGGGGUCUGUUAGAGCAGGGCAGCACUCAUGACAAAAACAGAAGUGGUUUCCACACUGGGCUUUCCAAUGUCUGCCAGCUACAGGGGUCUGCCUCAGUGGUGACAGUGGAGGGCAAUGUCUCAAGAGGAGGGAUCAUCUUCCAGUGUGAGAAGAGCACUGUGGAACCAGUGGAGAUACUAAUGUUCUGUUUACAAUGCUGUUCCUGCACUUGCAAGGCACAGUCUGUCUUUAAAUGAGUUAAAAUGCUUGCUUGUGUGAAGCUGAGCAGGACCAUGGAAAGUAGUUCUGGAAGUGUGGCUGCCAGGCACGUGAUCGAUGCAUUCCAGUGCAUGCCUGCUCUCAGAUCUGCAUUGCUGAAUCAAUUAAUCACAGAAGUCAGAGAUCAGAGAAUCUAUUUGCUCCACUCUUACAAGCAUGGAAUAUAUUUACUCAUAACCAGUCCCAGAACAGAUUUCAGACAGAAGCUCAAGAGAAAGAUCAACCACACAAUUAGAUUCGACCAGCAUUAACAUCCUAGGU
Passer domesticus (house sparrow) is the source of this 526-nucleotide long non-coding RNA. RefSeq lists it as uncharacterized. Lineage: Eukaryota; Metazoa; Chordata; Aves; Passeriformes; Passeridae. The record is from RefSeq and is a predicted model, not a curated record. The transcript has 5 exons.